AAUAGACGAAAAAUACAGGUACGAUUUAGUUUUCCUCUGGUUUUAUUUUCAUGCAUAUAUAUUUGUUUACUGUAUCACAUCUUUGGUGCAAGUCAAUUUUAUCCGGCACUAGCGUGAAAGAGUUAAUGUGAUAUAUUGUUGGAAAUUAAUGGCUGGUGAAAAUUUGUCUCUUUUCAUUCAAUAAUUUAUAUCCCUUCUUUUAUUUUCACUUGAUUUCAUUGUUAUUAUUAAAUGGCUAAAGAAAUAAUGGAUUGGCUAAGUAAAGGUGGCGCUUUUCCAGAUGACUAAGUUGCUGAU
Molecule: unclassified non-coding RNA, 297 nt
Filed under: Hevea brasiliensis (rubber tree)
Lineage: Eukaryota; Viridiplantae; Streptophyta; Magnoliopsida; Malpighiales; Euphorbiaceae
Source: RNAcentral